This 253-nucleotide ribosomal RNA is filed under the name uncultured bacterium. Its description in RNAcentral is "partial 16S ribosomal RNA". It matches the Rfam family "Bacterial small subunit ribosomal RNA", at positions 524 to 776 of the family's 1533-position model. The record is from RNAcentral.
GACGGAGGAUGCAAGCGUUAUCCGGAAUGAUUGGGCGUAAAGCGUCCGCAGGUGGCAGUUCAAGUCUGCUGUCAAAGACCGGGGCUUAACUUCGGAAAGGCAGUGGAAACUGAACAGCUAGAGUAUGGUAGGGGCAGAGGGAAUUCCUGGUGUAGCGGUGAAAUGCGUAGAGAUCAGGAAGAAGACCGGUGGCGAAGGCGCUCUUCUAGGCCGCAACUGACACUGAGGGACGAAAGCUAGGGGAGCGAACAGG